GGAAAAUACAUAGAAUAUAUUAGCAAGUGCUUUCAAGACCACCCAGUCUUCUUCAAGGCGCUUAAAGAAGCUUUUGAGGCUGUCUUUGACAAAGAUGUAGCUGGGUGGACCAGUCCUGACUUAUUUGCAGCACUUUGUGCUGAUAUAGUUGGAAGAGAGAGGUUGACUGAUGAACUAGCAGAAGAUGAAAUUGAAAAGGUAGUUAAGCUACUAGCGUGCAUAGGCAGCAAGGAUCUGUUUCUUCAGCUUCAUAGGUUUAUAUUCUUUAUUAGCAUGGGCGUAUAAUUCAUUGUUGGAGAUGAAUUGAAGCUUGAGAUCUUAUCUUUUUUUCCCCAUGGCAAUAACUUGUGGCAGGCGGCAUCUUGAAACAAAAUUAUUGUUUUACAAGAAUAUCAGUCAUUCGCAUGAGAUGAUCUUUCUUUCCAAGUUAAGGCAGUAUUUUGGGGGCAAUGCACAUCUCUUAUUGAUGAAAUUUUGAAAGAUCUGAUUGCAGAAAGAAGGAAGAGAAGAUCUUAUGCUGAGUGCAAAUUAUUUGGUGGUGCUGGCAGCACCCCGAUGCAAUCUGAUGAUGUCACCUUGCACAAUCUGGAAGAGUACUUCACUUCCGCACGGAUAGUUCAUAAACAUGCAGAUCCUGGAUUAUUAUUUAAUCAACUUGUUCAGGAAUUGAAGGUGCCCUGGGGCCUCACCCAAAUGAAGGGAGCAAAGUACACGCCAGAAGGGUAUUCUAUAUUUGGAGGCUUGGUAGAUCAUGUCACAAAUGCCCACACAAACAAUAAAAGCUGGAAUGGUAAGAUAACUGCAAAGAUGUUCUACACGUGUCAAGGCAGGUUCAUAUCUUCCCAUGGGCUAUUGCAAAGGAAGCAUGCAGUAGUGAUGCCUGCUGGAAUGACCUCAAUGCUUUACUUUCACUCAUCUUGAAAGAAUCAGCGCUUUCAACUCCUACGGGCAGAGUUUAUCCCCGUCAUCUAUUAAGGCUCGGCAGCAACUUCAAGAAGCUUUCUCGGAAAUCUGUUCUAGGCUCAAAGGUUGGGGCAUACAUCAGAUGCAAUCCUGCUUUCACAUCACAUUCGCAAAGUAGCUGUGUCUGCUGGCACUUGCGGCGCUUAGAAAAUUCCAAAGGGACAAAUGACAAGCAGAAUUUCAGAAGUCUUCUUGAGCCAACGGGUACUGCUAUAGAUUGGUUCUCACAAAUUAAAGAUCAUGCUCUGUUUAAGGAAACUUUUGAAAAAGGAAAGAAGAAUGGUGCACCUUAUGGAUGUGGGUAUUAUGAUCUUUACCAGUUUGUCUGUGAUUGGCAUACAUAUUGUCACGAGAAUACCCCUGAUACCCUUAAGAUUAAGUAUGGGUUUAAAAUAACUGGAAUUUAUUGCCGAGAUUCAUUUUGGUUCGUAUUUGUCGGAAGUUCUGUUCAUGCUUCUUACCGGUGGUAUUGAUAUUGAUGCGUGGGUUAGUGAUUUAAAGCCUGCUCUUCCCAUCCAAAAAGAGAAGUAUAAAGGUGGUUGAUUGUCUUGCCACUGAUCAGGAUGCGGGAGUCUCUUACCGAUGUUAUGACUGUUAGGCAUGCUACUUCAAUGGCACUCAAGGACGUCCUUUGGUGCUGUAUCACUUAGUGUAGUUUGUUGUUUUGUAGCUGAACCUGCUAUCAAAUCUGUCGAAUUUUAUAGUUUACCUU
This is a long non-coding RNA of Panicum hallii, 1675 nucleotides long. RefSeq lists it as uncharacterized. NCBI's taxonomy places the organism in Eukaryota, Viridiplantae, Streptophyta, Magnoliopsida, Poales, Poaceae. The record is from RefSeq and is a predicted model, not a curated record. The transcript has 5 exons.